RNAcentral lists this transfer RNA (82 nucleotides) under Echinostoma caproni. It matches the Rfam family "tRNA". From Rfam's summary of the family: Transfer RNA (tRNA) molecules are approximately 80 nucleotides in length. Their secondary structure includes four short double-helical elements and three loops (D, anti-codon, and T loops). Further hydrogen bonds mediate the characteristic L-shaped molecular structure. tRNAs have two regions of fundamental functional importance: the anti-codon, which is responsible for specific mRNA codon recognition, and the 3' end, to which the tRNAs corresponding amino acid is attached (by aminoacyl-tRNA synthetases). tRNAs cope with the degeneracy of the genetic code in two manners: having more than one tRNA (with a specific anti-codon) for a particular amino acid; and 'wobble' base-pairing, i.e. permitting non-standard base-pairing at the 3rd anti-codon position. Lineage: Eukaryota; Metazoa; Platyhelminthes; Trematoda; Plagiorchiida; Echinostomatidae. The record is from Rfam by way of RNAcentral.
GGCCUCGUAGGUCAGCCGGUAGAUCGUGCGCGUGAAAAGCGUAGGCGGCAUCCAUGCGUGGGUUAGAAUCCCACCGAGUCUA